GUAGAGUAUGUGACUCUUCAUAUCAGGGUUAUGGGUUGAACCUCAUAUUGGGCAUAGAGAGAUUACUAAAAGAAAAAAAUAAUAAUAGGGAUGCCUGGGUGGCUCAGCAGUUGAGCAUCUGUCUUUGGUUCAGGGCCUGGUUCCAGGAUGGAGUCCCGAGUCCCGCAUUGGGCUCCCUAUGGGGAGCCUGCUUCUCCCUCUGCCUGUGUCUCUGCCUCUUCUGUCUCUCAUGGAUAAAUAAAUAAAAUCUUAAAAAAAAAAAAAAAGAUAAUAUUAAUGGUAGCUUACUCUCGAAUAACACAUUUUCAUGCUAUCUUAUUUAAUCCUGAUAGCAGUUUUGUAAAGUAGCCACAGUCCCAUUUUGGCAAUGAAGCAUGAGGUUCAGAAAGUUUAAGAGUUGUGUCCAGGAUUACACUGCUAGCAGUGUAUGUUAAAGAUAGGACUAGGACUCUGUUUUUUUUUUUUUUUUGACUCCUAAUAAACUAGUCUCAUUUUUAUGUUUUCUCUCUUUAGAGAUACCUAGUCUGUUUUUCUGAAUUAAACCAGAUAACCUAGUCUUUUUCUGGACUUCCCUGGCUCUCCCCAAAACUAAGAUCUAAAAGUCCCUGUGUCCUGAGGGCCACGUUAUGUUCUAGGCUAGCCCCCCAAGUUUUCCUUACUUGAAGGAGGAUUAAGCUUUCCAGCCAUAUGUCUCAUAGUUUAGGAAGCACUUUUGCCCUGGCUGGAUACUCAGGCUCCCUAUGAGAAAGGGAACAAAUUGAAAUUGCCAUUGUGUAAGAAUCAUCUUCUGAGCAGCUCAGUUAAAAUGUUUGGCAGAAAGGACUUUUGGUGAAAGGCUAGAGAUCCUCAAAUGAUUUGAGGAUCAUUUGUCAUCACAGCCCCCUGUUAAUAUAAGUAAUUCAGUCUUAGUCCUGAAAGCAGUAUGCUACUCCAGUGUUUCAACGUAGAAAAUAAUUGAUAGAAAACAAAUUUCACACAAACCUCACCAUUCUAAGGACAUCAAUGCAAUAAAUAUAAAGUGCCUUUGGAACAAAGUUCAGAAAGCUGCAGAUUUCCGGGUAAAUCAGAGUCAUUUGUGAGUAACUUAAAAUUAGUUGUAUAUUUUUAAAGACUGGACUGAAUUUGUCUUCUAGGAGUAAAACAUACUUUUUUUCUGAUGAUAAAUGUACUUACAGAGUCUAAGACUGAUAGUGGGGAAAACAAGACCAUUAAACUUAAAUCCAUCAGAGGUUAUCACUGCUGCAUCCUAUAGUGCAAUCAAAUUGAGGCUUCUCCGUAUGUAAAGCCAGAGGGCAGUGUUGCUGCCGUUCCACCAAGCAGCCGCGUUUCUGGGGCUACUGCAUGACAUCAUAGCAGAAGGAAAAUUAAAAACACGAAGAAAACUAUUUCAAAAUAGACAUUUAAUGUAAUUUUUAGGCCAAAAGAAAAACUGAUCAUACAUUGUCUUGAGUGGACCAUCUGCCGGAAUAGGGCCAAGCUUAGUCCAGCUUUGGAGGCCGUGAGUCAGUUCUUGACCAGCAUAAUUCCCCUUGAUUCAUUGAUUUGUGAAUGCUUAUGCAUCAUUGAGGUGCAUUUAACUCUUGAAGUUCCUAGCACCUCCACUAUUCCAUUUAGCUACAAAAGCAAGCUUUCCAGUGGGAGUUCCAUGGGUUUUUUUUCUCCCUUUCCCUGCAGAGGUUCUUAACCUUCAAGGAGUUUGACAAUCUCAGGAGGAUUCUCUUGAACACUCUCCCCAGAAAAAUGUACAUACAAAAAUCUACACAGAACUUCGUGGGGUUCGUGAAUCUCAAGACCCCCUCUGGAUUCUAAGGCCCCAAGAAACCCCUGUACUAAUGAUUUGAGCAAUGCGUUUGCCUAGGGAAACACUAACACAGGGCAGACAGAGAUGGGCUGGAUUAACCAUGAUGACGAAGGAACAAUCAUAAUUUUAAGGAGACAGAAGUUUAUUAAAUACACAAGGGAGUGGUAGGCAGAACAGCAAAGGACAGAUUGUCUGCCAACAAACAUAACUUGUUACUAUUUUGAUUUGGGGGCAGAAAUUGAUUCCCAGAGCCUCCCUGCAUUUUCAACAACAGAACUACUCCCCGGCCUAAAGCAGCUAUUAGAUUGAGACCAGGGGCUGUAUGGGGGCUGGAUGUGCAGGGUUCCCACUCAAUCCAUAAGGACUUAAUUUAGCUCCUCAACCAGAAGCUUUACAUUUGAUUUGCAGUGAGGGGGAAUUUCUAAUUUUGGUUUGACCCUCAAAAGGUGGACAGCUCCCAUUCCUUUUUUUAGUAUAGGGAGCACCUAAGUAUAAAGUAAUUAGGGUAAGUCCUUGGAAUGCCCCAAACAACUAUUUCCUCUAUAAAUCCAAUAUUCCCUACCUGUAAGCGUCUUAACAAAGAACUGCCACACAAGUUUAUGCAACCAUUGCUUGCACUAAAAAAGCAAGGGGUUUACCAAGAGCUGUUUUCAUUUAUCCAGGAACUUCUUUCAGCCUUAUUGGUGAGGUGAAAGGAUCAGUAAAAUCUAUUUGUAGGAAUGAAAUGAGACUGUCAGUUGUCUAACCUAACAAACUGCCAAAUUAGGUUUACAUUUUUGUUAAUAGACUUUCCAAUGGCUGUUGAGAAGCAGAAUUAAAUUUUAAGCUUCUAAUCGUACUUUCCGCUCCAUAAACACCUAACCCUGGUUUGUUUCUCCAGCUUGAAAAAGAAAACCAAGGCACUAGAAAGCAAGCACACUUAAGUGUUGAAGAUAAUCUUUAUAUUUUGCCCGAACUGUAUAUUUAGCACACUAAAACUCAUCCAAGGGAAAAAUCAGCAAAUUGAAAAUUGUCCCAUUAAAGAUUGUUUUCUUGCAAACUGACAAAUUUAAGGAUUUCUCUACCCCCCAAAUGCAAUCACUUAAAUCAGCACUAUUUUGAAUUAGCUCUAGAAAUCACACUGAAACUAUGUUACAUUUACAAAUAUUAAAUUUAUUAUAGCUAGAAUGAAUUUAAUGGUUCUCAGAUUUGGCCACCUUAUAACUCCAUUUAAGGAGGGGAUUUUUUUUAACAGAAAAAAUGCAUUAUAACUUGGUCAAGUUACUUACACAUUAAAAAAA
Molecule: long non-coding RNA, 3081 nt
Filed under: Canis lupus familiaris (dog)
Lineage: Eukaryota; Metazoa; Chordata; Mammalia; Carnivora; Canidae
Description: lncRNA (ENSCAFG00000056267.1)
Source: RNAcentral